UACAGAGGUGGCAAGCGUUGUUCGGAAUUACUGGGCGUAAAGCGUGCGCAGGCGGUUUUGUAAGCCAGAUGUGAAAUCCCCGGGCUUAACCUGGGAAUGGCAUUUGGGACUGCAAGGCUCGAGUGCGGCAGAGGAGACUGGAAUUCCUGGUGUAGCAGUGAAAUGCGUAGAUAUCAGGAGGAACACCGAUGGCGAAGGCAGGUCUCUGGGCUGGCACUGACGCUCAUGCACGAAAGCGUGGGGAGCAAACAGG
Molecule: ribosomal RNA, 253 nt
Filed under: uncultured bacterium
Lineage: Bacteria
Description: partial 16S ribosomal RNA
Rfam family: Bacterial small subunit ribosomal RNA
Source: RNAcentral